AUAUAUGCAUCAUUUUCUCCACAUCAUUUCACUUUCACCAGACUGGCUACACCAAAAUUUUUCUGUUUCCACCAAGUCCUAACCAAAACCUGGCCAGGUUUAACACUCUAAAAUCCCAUUUUAGAUCUGCCCACGAUGCCCAAAACCUCAAGGGCUCCUCUCUGCCUUCCUGCCCCGUCGAAGCGGAUCCUUGGAUUGCUCUGCCUGCUGAAAUCGUUAUUUCCAGCGGGGUAUCCCAAGGGAUUUGGUGCUCAGCAGCAGGUGAUGCUGCAAACCAGGGAGGAGCAGGACUGGGGAAUUCCCAGUGCCAGGGACACCAAAAUGUGAG
Molecule: long non-coding RNA, 328 nt
Organism: Parus major (Great Tit)
Lineage: Eukaryota; Metazoa; Chordata; Aves; Passeriformes; Paridae
Exons: 2
Source: RefSeq, a predicted model, not a curated record